GGGUCAGUAGGUUGGUCGUGCCACCGGUACGUACUGGUCUCACUGAUUCCCCCUUCCUGAAGAACCGUAAUGACAUUAAUUUGGUGUUGCGGGGAAACAGGACUGUUACUUUGAAAAAAUUAGAGUGUUUAAAGCAAGCUAACGCUUGAAUACAUUAGCAUGGAAUAAUGAAAUAGGACGAUCGAUCCUAUUUUGUUGGUUUCUAGGAUUGACGUA
RNAcentral lists this ribosomal RNA (216 nucleotides) under Glomeromycotina sp. Its description in RNAcentral is "partial small subunit ribosomal RNA". The stretch from base 54 to 216 matches the Rfam family "Eukaryotic small subunit ribosomal RNA", at positions 700 to 864 of the family's 1831-position model. Lineage: Eukaryota; Fungi; Glomeromycota. The record is from RNAcentral.